RNAcentral lists this ribosomal RNA (497 nucleotides) under uncultured bacterium. RNAcentral describes it as "partial 16S ribosomal RNA". It matches the Rfam family "Bacterial small subunit ribosomal RNA", at positions 28 to 507 of the family's 1533-position model. The record is from RNAcentral.
GAUGAACGCUGGCGGCGUGCCUAAUACAUGCAAGUCGAGCGAACAGACGAGGAGCUUGCUCCUCUGACGUUAGCGGCGGACGGGUGAGUAACACGUGGAUAACCUACCUAUAAGACUGGGAUAACUUCGGGAAACCGGAGCUAAUACCGGAUAACAUGUUGAACCGCAUGGUUCAACAGUGAAAGACGGUCUUGCUGUCACUUAUAGAUGGAUCCGCGCCGCAUUAGCAAGUUGGUAAGGUAACGGCUUACCAAGGCAACGAUGCGUAGCCGACCUGAGAGGGUGAUCGGCCACACUGGAACUGAGACACGGUCCAGACUCCUACGGGAGGCAGCAGUAGGGAAUCUUCCGCAAUGGGCGAAAGCCUGACGGAGCAACGCCGCGUGAGUGAAGAAGGUCUUCGGAUCGUAAAACUCUGUUAUUAGGGAAGAACAAAUGUGUAAGUAACUAUGCACGUCUUGACGGUACCUAAUCAGAAAGCCACGGCUAACUACGUG